UGUGUGAUGGAUUUGAAUUCAAUCAAUAACUUUGAAAUGUUUUCUCAUAUGUAUACACAAAAGGGAGGACUGGUAUUUGUACUUCUGUUAGAAUAUGUCGUCGUCCGUUUCACAUGCCAAUUUUUUUUCUAGUAAAGUUUAAACGGGAAAAUUUUGUUGAGAAUUUGUUUUAAUAUGACAAAAUAACGAGCAAAACUAUUUCUUUCACUGGCACACACAGAGAACAUUUCCGUACAUUAAAUCUUUAAAUCUUAGGACGGUCAGAACAUUUUAAGGACGCAACAGAUCGACGUACAAUUUUAAGUAGUACAUAGAUGUUCAAUAAUUCAGCUUCCUGUACAUGUUCAUGAAGUUUUAAAUUCUUUAAAAAAC
Molecule: long non-coding RNA, 372 nt
Filed under: Mytilus galloprovincialis (Mediterranean mussel)
Lineage: Eukaryota; Metazoa; Mollusca; Bivalvia; Mytilida; Mytilidae
Source: RNAcentral